CGCUGGAUGACGUAGUUAGUCUGCGCGUCUCCCUGAAGAGGAGAAGGUCUUGGUGCAAUUCCAAGUCCAGCGGCCA
Molecule: transfer RNA, 76 nt
Filed under: Verrucomicrobiaceae bacterium
Lineage: Bacteria; Pseudomonadati; Verrucomicrobiota; Verrucomicrobiia; Verrucomicrobiales; Verrucomicrobiaceae
Description: tRNA-Phe
Rfam family: tRNA
About the family: Transfer RNA (tRNA) molecules are approximately 80 nucleotides in length. Their secondary structure includes four short double-helical elements and three loops (D, anti-codon, and T loops).
Source: RNAcentral